AUACUUACCUGAAAGGGGAGAUAGCAUGAUCAUGAAGGUGGUUUUCCCAGGGCAAGGCUUAUCCGUUGCAUUCCAGAAGUGCUAAACCUGCAAUUUCCCCAUAUGUGGGAAACUUAGUUGCAUAAUUUGUGGUAGUGGGGGACUGUGUUCAUGCUCUUUCCUA
RNAcentral lists this small nuclear RNA (163 nucleotides) under Carlito syrichta (Philippine tarsier). RNAcentral's name for it is "U1 spliceosomal RNA (ENSTSYG00000028228.1)". It matches the Rfam family "U1 spliceosomal RNA". Rfam says of the family: U1 is a small nuclear RNA (snRNA) component of the spliceosome (involved in pre-mRNA splicing). Its 5' end forms complementary base pairs with the 5' splice junction, thus defining the 5' donor site of an intron. There are significant differences in sequence and secondary structure between metazoan and yeast U1 snRNAs, the latter being much longer (568 nucleotides as compared to 164 nucleotides in human). Lineage: Eukaryota; Metazoa; Chordata; Mammalia; Primates; Tarsiidae. The record is from Rfam by way of RNAcentral.